RNAcentral lists this transfer RNA (66 nucleotides) under Micrococcus luteus. It matches the Rfam family "tRNA". Rfam says of the family: Transfer RNA (tRNA) molecules are approximately 80 nucleotides in length. The record is from RNAcentral. Lineage: Bacteria; Bacillati; Actinomycetota; Actinomycetes; Micrococcales; Micrococcaceae.
GGGCGUAGCUCAAUGGUAGAGCGCUUGCUUCCCAAGCAAGAUACGCGGGUUCGAUUCCCGUCGCCC